GAAUUCGCCCUUAGAGUGUGAUCCUGGCUCAGGAUGAAUGCUGGCGGCGUGCUUAACACAUGCAAGUCGAGCGAGAGAGUUUCUUCGGAAACAAUCUAGCGGCGGACGGGUGAGUAACACGUGGGCAACCUGCCUUGUAGUGGGGGACAGCCCUCCGAAAGGAGGAUUAAUACCGCAUAUUGUCACAUUGAGGCAUCUCAAAGUGAUGAAAGGAGUAAUCCGCUACAAGAUGGGCCCGCGGCGCAUUAGCUAGUUGGUGAGGUAACGGCUCACCAAGGCGACGAUGCGUAGCCGACCUGAGAGGGUGAUCGGCCACAUUGGGACUGAGACACGGCCCAGAC
Molecule: ribosomal RNA, 341 nt
Filed under: uncultured Clostridium sp.
Lineage: Bacteria; Bacillati; Bacillota; Clostridia; Eubacteriales; Clostridiaceae
Description: bacterial SSU rRNA
Rfam family: Bacterial small subunit ribosomal RNA
Source: RNAcentral